RNAcentral lists this ribosomal RNA (500 nucleotides) under uncultured bacterium. RNAcentral's name for it is "bacterial SSU rRNA". It matches the Rfam family "Bacterial small subunit ribosomal RNA", at positions 903 to 1397 of the family's 1533-position model. The record is from RNAcentral.
AAAGGAAUUGACGGGGGCCCGCACAAGCGGUGGAGCAUGUGGUUUAAUUCGACGCAACGCGAAGAACCUUACCAGGGUUUGACAUCCUCUGACAGCCAUUGAAAGGUGGUUUUCUGACUUCGGUCAGACAGAGAGACAGGUGGUGCAUGGUUGUCGUCAGCUCGUGUCGUGAGAUGUUGGGUUAAGUCCCGCAACGAGCGCAACCCCUACGUUUAGUUGCUAACACAUAAAGGUGAGCACUCUAGAAGAACUGCCGUUGACAAAACGGAGGAAGGUGGGGAUGACGUCAAAUCAUCAUGCCCCUUAUGUCCUGGGCUACACACGUGCUACAAUGGCCGGUACAAAGGGAAGCGAAGCCGCGAGGCGGAGCAAAUCCGAAAAAAGCCGGUCUCAGUUCGGAUUGCAGGCUGCAAUUCGCCUGCAUGAAGUCGGAAUCGCUAGUAAUCGCAGGUCAGCAUACUGCGGUGAAUACGUUCCCGGGCCUUGUACACACCGCCCGU